This 2850-nucleotide ribosomal RNA is filed under the name Triticum aestivum (bread wheat). RNAcentral describes it as "partial small subunit ribosomal RNA". Lineage: Eukaryota; Viridiplantae; Streptophyta; Magnoliopsida; Poales; Poaceae. The record is from RNAcentral.
AUGGCGAGCAAUUUACAGAACAAAAGUCCACUCACAAGGGAGUUUCGACUCGAGUUCUUACAAAGUAUUACGAAUAAUUUUUCUGACGACCGUAUAAUUGGCAAGGGUGGGUUUGGAGUAGUUUACAAGGGAGUAUUGAACAAUGGGGAAGAGAUUGCCCUGAAGAAGCUUAAUCACACAGGGCUUGACGACAAGGAAUUUACAAAUGAGUUCAAUAACAUUAUUAGGGCUCAUCAUCAAAACAUUGUACAGUUUGCUGGCUAUUGCUACCAUCCAGGUACUAGCUGGAUAAUGCACGAUGGACAAUAUAUCUUUGCUCAUGAGCCAAUAAGAAUUCUUUGCUUUGAAUAUUUGCACGGUGGAAACCUUGAGAGUCUCCUUUCUGAUGAGCAGCCAUGCAGACCUGAUUGGCAGACAUGUUACAAAAUAAUUAAGGGAGUCAGUCAGGGUUUGAAUUAUCUUCAUAAUGCACAUGAAGAAUCUAUUUAUCAUCUAGACUUAAAGCCGGCCAAUGUAUUGCUGGACAAGAAUAUGAUUCCGAAAAUUGGAGAUUUUGGUAUAUCAAGAAUCUUCUCAUUAACAAAAACCAUUACCACUGCAACACGAAUGAUGGGGACACUGGGAUACAUGCCACCAGAAUAUAUCAACAAACAAGAAAUCUCACCAAAAUAUGACGUGUUCAGUUUGGGUGCCGUAGUCAUACAAAUAAUGGCUGGACGCCAGAGGUACCGCGAUUGUGGAAGUAUUUCAAAUGAGAAAAUCAUUGAGCUUGUAUGUGAGAAAUGGCGAAAGCUACAUCCAACAAUGUCGUCACACACAUGGCUAGAAAUCCAGACAUGCAUCGAAAUAGCAUUAAGAUGUUUGGAGGAUGACCAAGAUAAACGACCGACUAUAAAAGAGAUUGUCGGUGAACUUAAUAGGAUUGGUAUUGAAACGCUGUCACUUUCAAACGAGGCUACAAACUUACAAAGUAGGGAGGCCUUGGCCUAUAACCACCACAACAACUCAGCUUCUAUCGGGGUACAUGAAAACAACAAUUGGUUCGAAUCCCGUGCCGAGCCCAUGGAUUGUGAACAUGAGUCCAUCAUGAGGAACCCCAAGAUCCAUGCUAUUGGAGGGCGUGAAGAUGUGACCAGGGCCGAUAAUUGCGAUGGCUUCCAGAACUCGAAUAUCAGGGAGAAAGGAAGUGUUCAUACUUCUGCCAUCAUCAUGGAUAUAAUGAACAACAAUACUUCAGUUGGCACUCUUGAGGAAAGGUAUCAAAAUGAUCUACUUCAGUUGCAAAGUGGCUUGGAAUUCCUGAGUGAUACUCUUCCUGCAAAGCAUGACCUCAUCGAUCGAGCAGAGUGGAGAAGCCACAAGGAUAGUGUGGCGAUCCUCCUUCCAAAGCUCAAGGAUGCAGUCUACGAUGCUGAAGACCUUCUUGAUGAUCUCAGAUGGUACAGCCAUAAGGUGAUAGUGGAAGGCAAUGCGAACAAAUUAUCUAUUACUGGCUUCUUUAGUAGCUUCAGCAAAGUGAAUGAUAUCGAUAAAAGGUUGGUUAAUAUUUCCGAAUGCCUAGAGAAAAUGGGGUUGGGUGAAGCGACACCACGGUUUGACAAAUCAGUCAGGCCAGAGACUACCUCAUUUUGCAAUGAAACAAAAAUAUUUGGUCGUGAUGUGCUGCUAAAGAAGAUGAUGAGAUUGCUCAAUGUGCCUACAAAUAGUAGCGCUGGUUCAAAACGCAAGUGGAAACCUAGUGCAGAUGGUGCGUCAACAAGCAAUCAAGUUAGUAAUGAAUCAAGAUUAGCUGAUCUUCCAGUUUUACCAUUAGUUGGAAUCGGGGGUGUUGGAAAGACCACUUUGGCCCAGCAUAUCUGUAGUCAUCCACUAGUGAAGUCUCACUUCAAAAUAAUAAUUUGGAUUUGUGUUUCGGAUGAUUUUGAUGUGAAGAGGUUAACAAAAGAGGCUAUAGAAUCCUGUACAGGUAAAAAGACAAAAACUGACAAUCUAAAUUCUCUUCAGAUUGUUCUUUCUGGCACACUGAGCAAUGAAAGGUUCUUGAUUGUCCUCGAUGAUAUGUGGGAUAAUGCUCUGAAGGAAGAUGGCAUGUGCUGGAAAAAGUUUUGUGCACCAUUAAAAAAUGUGCUACAAGGAAGUAUGAUGUUGGUCACCACUAGAUCACAAAAGGUUUCUGAGUUAGUGCACACUAUGGAACCUAUUAUAUUGGAAGGAUUAAAGGAUGAUGUCUUCUGGAAUUUCUUCAAACUAUGUGUGUUUGGGUCUGAGAGUUCGAAUGAUUUUCCAGAUUUGGAAGACAUUGGUAGAGAGAUACUUCCAAAGUUGAAGGGCUCUCCUUUAGCUGCUAAAACUCUUGGACGCAUGCUACAGAGUGACCUUCAUACAUCACACUGGAAUAGUAUACUAGACAGUGAAUUGUGGGCGUUGGACCAAGAGGCAACUGAUAUUGUGCCAGCUCUUCGAUUGAGCUACAUGUAUUUACCGUUCCACUUGAAGAAAUGUUUCUCAUUUUGUGCUGUGUACCCCAAAGAUAAGCAGUUUGAAAAGGACAGCUUAGCUGAAAUUUGGGCGGCAGAAGGCUUUGUGAAACGCCAGGGUGUUAUUCCCGUUCAAGAUAUUGGAUGUCAAUACUUCAAUGACCUUUUAAAUCGGCCAUUCUUUCAAAAAGUUCAAGGUAAAUACGUAAUCCAUGACUUGUUGCAUGAUAUGGCACAGAAAGUUUCAGAGGAUGAUUGUUACAUUGUGAAGAAGAAGGAUGACUUUAGAAGAAUUCCUCCAAAUGUCCGCCAUCUGUCAAUACUAUCUAGCAAUGACAUCGACAAUUCUGACUUGUCGAUCCUCUGCCGGUAG